UACGGAGGGUGCAAGCGUUGUCCGGAAUCACUGGGCGUAAAGGGCGCGUAGGCGGCCUGGUAAGUAGGGGGUGAAAUCUUGCGGCUCAACCGCAAGGCUGCCUCCUAAACUGCCGGGCUGGAGCACGGUAGAGGCAGAUGGAAUUCCCGGUGUAGCGGUGGAAUGCGUAGAGAUCGGGAAGAACAUCGGUGGCGAAGGCGGUCUGCUGGGCAGUUUCUGACACUGAGGCGCGACAGCGUGGGGAGCAAACAGG
Molecule: ribosomal RNA, 253 nt
Filed under: uncultured bacterium
Lineage: Bacteria
Description: partial 16S ribosomal RNA
Rfam family: Bacterial small subunit ribosomal RNA
Source: RNAcentral